This 270-nucleotide ribosomal RNA is filed under the name uncultured bacterium. RNAcentral describes it as "partial 16S ribosomal RNA". It matches the Rfam family "Bacterial small subunit ribosomal RNA", at positions 32 to 313 of the family's 1533-position model. The record is from RNAcentral.
AAUCAACGCUGGCGGCGCGCUUAACACAUGCAAGUCGCACGAGAAAGGGAGCAAUCCCAAGUACAGUGGCGCACGGGUGAGUAACACGUGGAUCAUCUACCUUUUAGUGGGGAAUACCUCCGGGAAACUGGAGACAAUACCGCAUAAGCUCGUAAGAGGAAAGCAGCAAUGCGCUGAAAGAGGAGUCCGCGGCCGAUUAUGCUAGAUGGCGGGGUAAUGGCCCACCAUGGCGAAGAUCGGUAGCCGGCCUGAGAGGGCACACGGCCACAC